RNAcentral lists this ribosomal RNA (490 nucleotides) under Blastocystis sp. subtype 3. RNAcentral describes it as "bacterial SSU rRNA". It matches the Rfam family "Eukaryotic small subunit ribosomal RNA", at positions 511 to 1008 of the family's 1831-position model. The record is from RNAcentral. Lineage: Eukaryota; Bigyra; Opalinata; Blastocystidae.
GGAUUGAGACAACGUACAAACCUUAUCGAUAAACAAUUGGAGGGCAAGUCUGGUGCCAGCAGCCGCGGUAAUUCCAGCUCCAAUAGCGUAUAUUAACGUUGUUGCAGUUAAAAAGCUCGUAGUUGAAAUGAAGGGUAGUUGUGUAAUGAAUACAUUCGUGUAUUUUGUUAUUCAAGUACCCUCCUUCUAAAUUCGAUAUAUGAGUAUUAAUUUACUUGUAUAUGGUUUUAGACUUUUACUGUGAGAAAAUUAGAGUGUUCAAAGCAGGCAUUUGCUUGAAUAUAUUAGCAUGGAAUAAUCAUGUAUGAUUUUCAUGAUGUAUUUGAUUGGUUUGGUUGAUGAGAAUAAGAUUAAAAGGGACAGUUGGGGGUAUUCAUAUUCAAUAGUCAGAGGUGAAAUUCUCGGAUUUAUGGAAGAUGAACAAGUGCGAAAGCAUUUACCAAGGAUGUUUUCAUUAAUCAAGAACGAAAGUUAGGGGAUCGAAGAGGAU